Molecule: ribosomal RNA, 422 nt
Filed under: Laparocerus franzi
Lineage: Eukaryota; Metazoa; Arthropoda; Insecta; Coleoptera; Curculionidae
Description: partial 16S ribosomal RNA
Source: RNAcentral
GGUAUUUUGACCGUGCAAAGGUAGCAUAAUCAUUAGUUUCUUAAUUGAAAGCUGGAAUGAAAGGUUGGAUGAAAAAUAAGCUGUCUCUAUUUAAAUUCCUUAGAAUUUUAUUUUUAAGUUAAAAAGCUUAAAUUUUAAUAGAAGACGAGAAGACCCUAUAGAGUUUUAUUUGUUUAAUAAAUAAAAAUAAUAGUAUUAAUAAUUUUUAUUUAUUAAAUAAAUUUAGUUGGGGUGAUUGAAAAAUUUAAUUAACUUUUUUUGUAUGUAUACAUUAAUUUAUGAUUGGUUGAUCCUUAGUUUAAGAUUAAAAGAUAAAAUUACCUUAGGGAUAACAGCGUAAUUUUUUUUGAGAGUUCUAAUCGAAAGAAAAGAUUGCGACCUCGAUGUUGGAUUAAAAUAAAAUUUUGGUGUAGAAGCUAAAC